UUAGGAAUCUUGCGCAAUGGGGGAAACCCUGACGCAGCGACGCCGCGUGCGGGAUGAAGGCCUUCGGGUUGUAAACCGCUUUCAGCAGGGACGAAGUUGACGGUACCUGCAGAAGAAGGCCCGGCCAACUACGUGCCAGCAGCCGCGGUAAUACGUAGGGGCCAAGCGUUGUCCGGAAUCAUUGGGCGUAAAGAGCUCGUAGGCGGUUCGGUAAGUCGGGUGUGAAAUCUCCACGCUCAACGUGGAGGGGCCACUCGAUACUGCCGUGACUAGAGUCCAGUAGGGGAGUGUGGAAUUCCCGGUGUAGCGGUGAAAUGCGCAGAUAUCGGGAGGAACACCAGCGGCGAAGGCGGCACUCUGGGCUGGUACUGACGCUGAGGCACGAAAGCUAGGGGAGCGAAACAGGAUUAGAUACCCUGGUAGUCCUAGCCCUAAACGAUGGAUACUUGCUGUGAGGGGGAUUGAAUCCCUUUGUGGCGAAGCUAACGCAUU
RNAcentral lists this ribosomal RNA (492 nucleotides) under uncultured Actinomycetes bacterium. RNAcentral's name for it is "bacterial SSU rRNA". It matches the Rfam family "Bacterial small subunit ribosomal RNA", at positions 355 to 861 of the family's 1533-position model. Lineage: Bacteria; Bacillati; Actinomycetota; Actinomycetes. The record is from RNAcentral.